AGGACGAACGCUGGCGGCGUGCUUAACACAUGCAAGUCGAACGAGGUGCUUGCACCUAGUGGCGAACGGGUGAGUAACACGUGAGCAACCUGCCCUUGGCUCUGGGAUAGCCUCCGGAAACGGGGAUUAAUACCGGACAUGACCUUCUUCCGCAUGGGGGAGGGUGGAAAGUUUUUCGGCCAGGGAGGGGCUCGCGGCCUAUCAGCUUGUUGGGGGGGUAACGCCCACCAAGGCGACGACGGGUAGCCGGCCUGAGAGGGCGACCGGCCACACUGGGACUGAGACACGGCCCAGACUCCUACGGGAGGCAGCAGUGGGGAAUAUUGCACAAUGGGCGAAAGCCUGAUGCAGCGACGCCGCGUGCGGGAUGAAGGCCUUCGGGUUGUAAACCGCUUUCAGCAGGGGCGAAUUCAGACGGUACCUGCAGAAGAAGCGCCGGCUAACUACGCGCCAGCAGCCGC
Molecule: ribosomal RNA, 461 nt
Filed under: uncultured bacterium
Lineage: Bacteria
Description: SSU rRNA
Rfam family: Bacterial small subunit ribosomal RNA
Source: RNAcentral